RNAcentral lists this ribosomal RNA (727 nucleotides) under uncultured Fusobacterium sp. Its description in RNAcentral is "bacterial SSU rRNA". It matches the Rfam family "Bacterial small subunit ribosomal RNA", at positions 28 to 781 of the family's 1533-position model. The record is from RNAcentral. Lineage: Bacteria; Fusobacteriati; Fusobacteriota; Fusobacteriia; Fusobacteriales; Fusobacteriaceae.
GAUGAACGCUGACAGAAUGCUUAACACAUGCAAGUCUACUUGAACUUCGGUUUGGGUGGCGGACGGGUGAGUAACGCGUAAAGAACUUGCCUCACAGUUAGGGACAACAUUUGGAAACGAAUGCUAAUACCUGAUAUUAUGAUUUUAGGGCAUCCUAAGAUUAUGAAAACUAUAUGUGCUGUGAGAGAGCUUUGCGUCCCAUUAGCUAGUUGGAGAGGUAACGGCUCACCAAGGCGAUGAUGGGUAGCCGGCCUGAGAGGGUGAACGGCCACAAGGGGACUGAGACACGGCCCUUACUCCUACGGGAGGCAGCAGUGGGGAAUAUUGGACAAUGGACCAAAAGUCUGAUCCAGCAAUUCUGUGUGCACGAUGACGUUUUUCGGAAUGUAAAGUGCUUUCAGUUGGGAAGAAAAAAAUGACGGUACCAACAGAAGAAGUGACGGCUAAAUACGUGCCAGCAGCCGCGGUAAUACGUAUGUCACAAGCGUUAUCCGGAUUUAUUGGGCGUAAAGCGCGUCUAGGUGGUUAUGUAAGUCUGAUGUGAAAAUGCAGGGCUCAACUCUGUAUUGCGUUGGAAACUGCAUGACUAGAGUACUGGAGAGGUAAGCGGAACUACAAGUGUAGAGGUGAAAUUCGUAGAUAUUUGUAGGAAUGCCGAUGGGGAAGCCAGCUUACUGGACAGAUACUGACGCUAAAGCGCGAAAGCGUGGGUAGCAAACAGGAUUAG